RNAcentral lists this ribosomal RNA (463 nucleotides) under Corynebacterium durum. RNAcentral describes it as "bacterial SSU rRNA". It matches the Rfam family "Bacterial small subunit ribosomal RNA", at positions 28 to 494 of the family's 1533-position model. The record is from RNAcentral. Lineage: Bacteria; Bacillati; Actinomycetota; Actinomycetes; Mycobacteriales; Corynebacteriaceae.
GACGAACGCUGGCGGCGUGCUUAACACAUGCAAGUCGAACGGAAAGGCCCACCACCUUGGUGGUGGGUACUCGAGUGGCGAACGGGUGAGUAACACGUGGGUGAUCUGCCCCGCACUGUGGGAUAAGCCUGGGAAACUGGGUCUAAUACCACAUACGACCAUGGCGUAGGGGUCAUGGUGGAAAGCCUUUGCGGUGUGGGAUGAGCCCGCGGCCUAUCAGCUCGUUGGUGGGGUAAUGGCCUACCAAGGCGGCGACGGGUAGCCGGCCUGAGAGGGUGGACGGCCACAUUGGGACUGAGACACGGCCCAGACUCCUACGGAAGGCAGCAGUGGGGAAUAUUGCACAAUGGGCGCAAGCCUGAUGCAGCGACGCCGCGUGGGGGAUGAAGGCCUUCGGGUUGUAAACUCCUUUCGCCCGGGACGAAGCCCACCUUGGUGGAUGACGUACCGGAGAAGAAGCACC